Molecule: long non-coding RNA, 950 nt
Organism: Esox lucius (northern pike)
Lineage: Eukaryota; Metazoa; Chordata; Actinopteri; Esociformes; Esocidae
Source: Ensembl
GCUAAACCUGCUGUAGCAAUCUUCAAGCAAUGUCUUUAUUGACAUUUAUCAUUGUGCCCAUACCUGUGAUGGGGUCACCAAGAACAGUGAGUUAAUUUGACCAUUACAUACAUGUCAAUAAAACUGCUGUAAAAUUAAGAAAUUAACAAAUCUACAUUAGGAGGCUACUACUAGCAUCAACACUACUGUCUCCAUUGUUAUGUAAUACCUGAUUUCUCCAUCAGGGGGUGGGGUCACACCAAAGUGCCAGCACCAUCCUGUGUCCUCAUCCAAAAGACAGCUGUGCAUCUAGUAGAGCUUGGGAAUGGGCUGAUCUACGAAGAUCCCUGCUGCUCGUUCUGCUCAGGGAGAGCUGCCAGAAGGGGCUGCUGUAGCAUUGUUCCAUAGAACCUCAAGAGGGUCAGAGGUCAAGAAUAUGACCAAACACAACAAUGGAGUAAUCAGAGCUGAGGCUCCGGGAGGCCAGCCAAGCCUCUCAUCGUCCUCAUCCGUACAGGGCUGCUCUGCUGUGUUCGCUCUCCUCUCAUCCACAGACGAGGUAAUUAACCAUCAUACUGCAGAUGGGAUCAAUUUUUACCCUCCCUCUGGUCUCUCGACUCCCUUUCUCUCCUGGUUCUCCGUUCCCGGUCUCUCUCACUCUUUCUCUAGCUUUGACACCCCCCCCCCUUUUUGCUCUCUUUUUCCAUCUCUCCUGCUUCUCCAACAACCUUCUACGCUCUCUCGCACACGCACGCACACACACGGACACACACACACACACAGACCCAUAAUUGCACUGGAACUGUGCCAGCCAGCCUCAGACUAACAGGGCCCUCGCCUUCCCCACUCCUCCCUCUGCUCUUACCCUCCCCUAUCUCUUUGCUCUUCUCCGCGCCCCCCAUUCCUCUCUCCUUCCUCCCCCCUCUCCUUCCUCCCCCCUCUCCUCCACCUCAGUCUCUUGUCUCAUCUGC